RNAcentral lists this ribosomal RNA (454 nucleotides) under uncultured bacterium. RNAcentral describes it as "partial 16S ribosomal RNA". It matches the Rfam family "Bacterial small subunit ribosomal RNA", at positions 28 to 507 of the family's 1533-position model. The record is from RNAcentral.
GAUGAACGCUGACAGAAUGCUUAACACAUGCAAGUCAACUUGAACUUCGGUUUGGGUGGCGGACGGGUGAGUAACGCGUAAAGAACUUGCCUCACAGAUAGGGACAACAUUUGGAAACGAAUGCUAAUACCUGAUAUUAUGAUUAUAUGGCAUCGUAUAAUUAUGAAAGCUAUAUGCGCUGUGAGAGAGCUUUGCGUCCCAUUAGCUAGUUGGAGAGGUAACGGCUCACCAAGGCGAUGAUGGGUAGCCGGCCUGAGAGGGUGAUCGGCAACAAGGGGACUGAGACAUGGCCCUUACUCCUACGGGAGGCAGCAGUGGGGAAUAUUGGACAAUGGACCAAGAGUCUGAUCCAGCAAUUCUGUGUGCACGAUGAAGUUUUUCGGAAUGUAAAGUGCUUUCAGUUGGGAAGAAAAAAAUGACGGUACCAACAGAAGAAGUGACGGCUAAAUACGUG